AUGGAAGAAGGUACAUUUUUUGCAUCCAUGAAUGAGUGUAGAAAUGCACUUGUGACAUACUGCAUCAAGGUAGAAUGUACUUUCAAAGUUGACAAGAGCGAUCAAGUACGUUACAGAGUGCACUGUCCGACUGAGAGUUGUCCAUGGAGGCUGCUCGCAUCUAAAAUGCAAAAUAGCACUAAUGUUCAGGUCAAAGUGAACCCUUUUAAGCACACAUGCCAGGAAUCAACCCUUAGGAAGGAUACAAUCAGUAGAGCCAAGUCAAGAUGGGUGGCAGAAAAAGUAAAGAAGUGGUUGAAAGAAAACUAG
RNAcentral lists this ribosomal RNA (309 nucleotides) under Triticum aestivum (bread wheat). RNAcentral describes it as "partial small subunit ribosomal RNA". Lineage: Eukaryota; Viridiplantae; Streptophyta; Magnoliopsida; Poales; Poaceae. The record is from RNAcentral.